UACAGAGGGUGCAAGCGUUGUUCAGAAUUAUUGGGCGUAAAGGGCGCGUAGGCGGUGCGGUAAGUCACCUGUGAAAUCUCUGGGCUCAACUCAGAGUCUGCAGGCGAAACUGCCGUGCUUGAGUGUGGGAGAGGUGAGUGGAAUUCCCAGUGUAGAGGGUGAAAUUCGUAGAUAUUGGGAAGAACACCAGUGGCGAAGGCGGCUCGACUGGCCCGGUACGUCGACGCUGAGGUGCG
This 236-nucleotide ribosomal RNA is filed under the name uncultured bacterium. Its description in RNAcentral is "partial 16S ribosomal RNA". It matches the Rfam family "Bacterial small subunit ribosomal RNA", at positions 524 to 755 of the family's 1533-position model. The record is from RNAcentral.